Molecule: non-coding RNA, 29 nt
Filed under: Homo sapiens (human)
Lineage: Eukaryota; Metazoa; Chordata; Mammalia; Primates; Hominidae
Source: RNAcentral
GGUGAGCGGAUGUACAGAUGUGCAAGACC